This 497-nucleotide ribosomal RNA is filed under the name uncultured bacterium. Its description in RNAcentral is "partial 16S ribosomal RNA". It matches the Rfam family "Bacterial small subunit ribosomal RNA", at positions 28 to 507 of the family's 1533-position model. The record is from RNAcentral.
GAUGAACGCUGGCGGCGUGCCUAAUACAUGCAAGUCGAGCGAACAGACGAGGAGCUUGCUCCUCGGACGUUAGCGGCGGACGGGUGAGUAACACGUGGAUAACCUACCUAUAAGACUGGGAUAACUUCGGGAAACCGGAGCUAAUACCGGAUAAGAUAUUGAACCGCAUGGUUCAAUAGUGAAAGACGGUUUUGCGGGCACGUAUAGAUGGAUCCGCGCCGCAUUAGCUAGUUGGUAAGGUAACGGCUUACCAAGGCGACGAUGCGUAGCCGACCUGAGGGGCUGGUGGCCCACCCUGGACCUGAGACACGGUCCAGACUCCUACGGUAGGCAGCAGUAGGGAAUCUUCCGCAAUGGUCGAAAGCCUUACGGAGCAACGCCGCGUGAGUGAUGACGGUCUUCGGAUCGUACAACUCUGUUAUUAGUGAAGAACAAAUGUGUAAGUAACUAUGCACGUCUUGACGGUACCUAAUCAGAAAGCCACGGCUAACUACGUG